AAAUAAACCCAAGGACGAAAGAAUGGUGAGACUAGUUCUUCCUCUGUUUUUAAAAACAGACGUUUUGAAAAAGUUCUGCCUUAAAAUCUGUUUUUCAUUUAUGGAACAGUAAUCUACGCGUUAAUAUGAUAAUGCCAUUUAUGUAUUGAACCUCUGCACGUCAUGUGAGCUUCGUCUUAUCACCAAUGUUAUGGAUUUCAAGGUUAUCGAGAACAAGGGCUAAUGGAAGGACAAUGGCAUCUGAAAUGGUAGUCCUGUCGCUUUUUAGGGAUGGAUAUAAAAUCAAACGACUCCUCAUCUCCAGGGCCAUAUUUAUCAAUAAUGGCAUCUACCAAUGAGGCCAUGAUCUAUUGGUAUUUGUCUGCGAAACUGAUGGUCUGAAAAAUUUCUUCAAUGCAAGAUAGAGUGCCUGGUGCGUGAUAAAUCCACAUCAAACUGAAACAUGGCAGGAUCGGGAGAUGACUCAUUGGAGCAGUAUCUAGAACUACGUUUAGCGACGGGUCUUCUAUCGUUUGCUUGCACAACUGUUUCUAUAUAUAUAAAUAUAAACAAUAUUAAUCAAAGCCAUAAUUAAUUCAAGUCAUGACCAUACCUCCUCGCCACUGUAAGUAUACAGUAAACUUUAAUAGCCUUAUCAGCUGUUGUGGGUAUAUUGAAAGUAGAACACACAUAUAUAAUGUAUAUAUUCGAUUUCAAAAUAUCUCUACCCAGAGUUGUCGUUCCUUGCUCUCACUUACACCCAGAGUUGUCGUUCCUUGCUCCCCACUUGCACCUCUGUCAACGUCUCGACGGUUUUACCAUCUUCUUUACAAGAUUUUUGUAAAAUGGCACGUAUGUUCAAAGAAAGUAUGGUUUUUACUUCAGUUACAAAAAUAUACGUAAAUAAAAUAAAUAUUGAGCAAAUGUCAAGUCUUUUUGUGACACAAAAAGCAUCGAUUUUGGGUUGAAACGUGGAUCAGGUCUCAUACAUGUAUAGGUACAUGAAGAGUAUAUAUAGUAAUGGAAAAAAUCUAUAAAUAUAGUUUCUUGUCCUACAUUUUCCCAAUAUUUUAUAAAGUAGUUCUUUUAUUAGCCGUAAAAAAAAAAGUGGAUUUAUAUGUGGAAUAACAUUGCUUAUUUUGAGACGUUAACAGAGGUAUAUGCAUGUACAUGUACAUAUGAGAUUGAUAAAUCCACAAGUUGAGGCUUUAUAAAAUUAUCUAAGUCUAAGAUCAGUUUAUGGUAUCUUUAAACCAUUAACAACACAAAUAUAUGUAGUUUCCGGUCUCAAUGAUUCAAUUUUUUCCUGAACAAAAACACCACACUCCUGGUUUUUGUUUUAGGCCUAAAAAGGAUUAUUUCUUGGUCAAAAGGUUGUUUUUUUAUUGGUUUUAUUUUAUCAUUAUUAUUAUUAUCAUCUUCAGAUGUUUUAAAAUAAAUGAUUUAUAUUUCAUGAUAAUUAGAGCAAGAAUGAAUUCAGAAUAAAUUUUCACACUAAGUGUAUUUUUCAAUAAAACAUAUAAAAUUUGCGUAAGACACGUUCAAGUUCCCAAAGAUAUUUAACACAUUUGUUUGUUUUGUAAUUAUGUAAAGAAGUAAAUAAGAUAUAAUCAUUUUUUCACUACUUUUUUCUUUAAAAGAUCGUAAAAUUGUUUAAUUUUGAAAAAUGGUUUUACAAUAGUCACGGAUUUAUUUUCUCUCAGAAUUAUAGGUUUGUUAUAGCGAUCCGUUUCUAUAUAUACAACCUGAUCAAUGUGCACACCCUUAAUACUUUAAUAUUAGAUAAAAAUGUAAACAAUGCAUGCAAAAUAGAAAACACAAAUAUGAAUAUUAUACUAUGUGGAAAUAUUCUUUAACUGUAAAAUUAUUCACACACGUAGAUUUCAAAUUAAUUACAAAUCCUAUGUAGUUUUGUACAAAUAGGCCUACACGUCCUGUUCGAUCAGGGCUCAGCCUGCUGCACAAUCCCAUCAAUUCUUUGAAUAUAUAUUAUUGGUUAAAUGAUCUAGUUAUUAUCGAUGUCCACCUUCUACUUUGGGGUAAUAAUGCUUUAUCUUCUGAGUUAAACAAGUGUAUUUUUUCUUCUGUUCAGUCGUUUAUUUAUGAAACCAAAAGAUUCAAUUGAUGUUCAAUUUAUAUUUUUUGUACAUUAAUUUUCUACAAUAAUAUAUUGUUAUAUUUUUAAGGAGAAGAACUCGUAAGUUAUUUGAACUUGUUUCUGAUCCUUUUGUAUAUCAUGUAUGUACAAUAAAAUAUGUUCAAAAUAGA
Long non-coding RNA from Ostrea edulis (European flat oyster), 2247 nucleotides. RefSeq lists it as uncharacterized. The record is from RefSeq and is a predicted model, not a curated record. The transcript is spliced from 4 exons. Lineage: Eukaryota; Metazoa; Mollusca; Bivalvia; Ostreida; Ostreidae.